This 294-nucleotide unclassified non-coding RNA is filed under the name plant metagenome. Its description in RNAcentral is "partial contains small subunit ribosomal RNA, internal transcribed spacer 1, and 5.8S ribosomal RNA". The stretch from base 1 to 54 matches the Rfam family "Eukaryotic small subunit ribosomal RNA", at positions 1778 to 1831 of the family's 1831-position model. The record is from RNAcentral.
GGAAGUAAAAGUCGUAACAAGAUUUCCGUAGGUGAACCUGCGGAAGGAUCAUUAAUGAGUUGUCAUGGGGUUCGAUGCUGGCAGCCAGUUUUUGGAUGCAUGUGCUUGCCCUAACAAUCAUCUUCUUCCAAACACCUGUGCACAUUUUUGAGGGAGUCUUGAGUUGGUUGCCGCUCUUGGGUGAUUUUCUCACAUUCCCUUAAAUCAUUAUACGCUAUUAACAAUGUUGAACGUGCUCUGUGCCGCAAGGCCAUUAAUAUAAUACAACUUUUAACAACGGAUCUCUUGGCUCUC